AAUAUUAAAAAGAAAAUUGGAACACAAUCAUCAUGCACCAUUUCUUGUGUGGUUAUAAAAAUAUAGCUGCAGUGACAAACCGGUUUCCAACAUGUACUUCCCAAUCCACUAAAAGCCAAUCAACAACAAAACCUACUUACCUUUCUUACCCACUAACAUAUAUUUUUGCUUCUGUCCCCAUUUACAAUUACCUCUGCGCCAGCUACAGCACCUUGACUAUACAUUUGAAACCCUGGGUGAAUACGACAAAUGGUUCACAACAAAAACAAUCAGUAUUAAAACAUAGCCUACUACCACUGCAUGGUAAGUUUUCAUUUAUCUAUUAGUUACCCAAUAUUUUAAAAUAUCAAUUUUAAACUUGACAUAGUCACUCACUGUAAUGUUAUUAAAAUAUCACAAAUUGGGAAUCAAGGUCCUAUACAUUUUUUGCAUUAAUCUGCCAUUUUGGAAUGCAUUGCUUAGCUUUGAUAUAACUAAUUUAGAUGUAUAUCAUGGACCCACAUAUAAAAUCUCAAGUAAAUCAACCUUACAUUUUAUGAGGUGUUAAUUUUUUAAGGUUUUCACAAAUAUUCAAAAUGGUGAACUUCAUAUGUUCUUGAUGCCCAUACAUUCAAGACACAUUUCAAAUAGCCUAUGGACUGCCAAAUUCCAAAACUUUAUAUCACAGACUUCUUAAGUUAUUAGAUCUUUAACAAGUAAAAUAACAGGUUUGAUUAUGUGAUGGAGUACUAAAGGAAGUUGUUGUGUGAAUAAUCAAAUGGUUUACCUUAUAAUGUAUUAAGAUGCGCCAAAUGUUUUCAAUGGGUGACAGGUCUAGACUGCAGGCAGGCCAGUUUAGCUCCUGGAAUCUUUUACUAUAGAGCCAUGCUGUUGUAAUUCGUGCAGAUUGUUGUUUUGCAUUGUCUUCCUGAAAUAAGCAAGGCCUUUCCUAAGAAAGACAUUGUCUGGAUGGCAGCAUAUGUUGCUCCAAAACCUAUAUAUAUUGUUCAGCAUUAAUGGUGCCAUCACAGAUCAAGUCACCCAUGUGCACUAAUGCACAGCCAUAUCAUCACAGAUGCUAGCUUUUGAAUUGUGCGCUGAUAAAAAGCUGGAUAGUCCCUUUCCUUUUUAGCUUGGAGGACGCAGUGUCCAUGAUUCCCAAGAGGUUUUGAUUUGUCAGACCACAGGACAAUUUUCCACUUUGCCUCAGUCCAUCUUAAAUGAGCUUGGGCCCAGAGAAUGUGGCGACAUUUCUGGAUCUUGUUUAUAUCUGGAUUCUUUGCAUGGUAGAGUUUUAAAUUGCAUUUGUGGACAACAACAACAAACUGUGCUCACAGAGUGUUUACAGACAAGUUUUGGUUUUCAGAAGUGUUCCUGAGCCCAUGCAGUGAUUUCCACUACAGAAUCGUAUCUGUUUUUAAUCCAGUGUCGCCUCACGACUAUCCAAUAUUGGUUUUCAGUCUUGUCCCUUGCGAACAGAUUUCGUCCGAUUCUCUAAAUCUUUUAACGAUUUUAUGUGCCGUAAAUUAUGAGAUCCCCAAACUCUUUGCUGUUUUACCUUGAGAAACAUCUUUUAACACCUAAUCAAGUUACUGACAAGCUACCAAUUAACUUAAUUUGUUUGAGAUGUUCCUCUAUGUUUUUAUUUUGUACUACACAACUUUCCAGUCUUUUGUUGCCCCUGUCCCAGCUUUAAUGGGUAUUGAAUAAUUUUCCAGGAACAAUAAAAACAUUCAGUUUCAACAUUUGAUAUGUUGUCUCUAUUUUCUAUUGAAUAUA
This is a long non-coding RNA of Esox lucius (northern pike), 1758 nucleotides long. The record is from Ensembl. NCBI's taxonomy places the organism in Eukaryota, Metazoa, Chordata, Actinopteri, Esociformes, Esocidae.